CUCAGCUCUAGUCCGCCUGCCAGCCUCAGCCCUGCGUGAGCCGACUGCCCGCCUACAAUCUCAGGCAGCCGGUCACCUCAAGGGCUGAAAAGGCUUACAAAGCCCUUGGCGACCAGCAAAUUUGUCAAGCCCUGAGUUAUUGACACUACUGGACGUCAGUCAACAGACAAAGAAUGUUGAUGCCAGAUGCACCGGAUAAGCG
Molecule: non-coding RNA, 202 nt
Organism: Pelobates cultripes (western spadefoot toad)
Lineage: Eukaryota; Metazoa; Chordata; Amphibia; Anura; Pelobatidae
Source: the annotation of a GenBank genome assembly